RNAcentral lists this ribosomal RNA (253 nucleotides) under uncultured bacterium. RNAcentral describes it as "partial 16S ribosomal RNA". It matches the Rfam family "Bacterial small subunit ribosomal RNA", at positions 524 to 776 of the family's 1533-position model. The record is from RNAcentral.
UACGUAGGGACCAAGCGUUGUUCGGAUUUACUGGGCGUAAAGGGCGCGUAGGCGGCAAUUCAAGUCAGCUGUGAAAUCUCCGGGCUUAACUCGGAAAGGUCAACUGAUACUGUGCGACUAGAGUGCAGAAGGGGCAACUGGAAUUCUCGGUGUAGCGGUGAAAUGCGUAGAUAUCGAGAGGAACACCCGCGGCGAAGGCGGGUUGCUGGGCUGACACUGACGCUGAGGCGCGAAAGCCAGGGGAGCGAACGGG